AAGGAUCAUUACUGAAGAAACAAGGGUUUUGAGACUGCGUCCUUCAAUUGGGCGUGUGCUCGACUCUUACUCUUUCAUAUCCCAUACACACCUUUGUGCACCAAGGGGACCCUUGUGUCCCCCUUUUUUUCAUAAAUACCGAGUUAUAUGCAUGUAUAGUUUGUAUACUCUACGGAGUUAUUAUAAAUACAACUUUCAACAACGGAUCUCUUGGCUUUC
RNAcentral lists this unclassified non-coding RNA (219 nucleotides) under uncultured fungus. RNAcentral's name for it is "partial contains 5.8S ribosomal RNA, internal transcribed spacer 2, and large subunit ribosomal RNA". Lineage: Eukaryota; Fungi. The record is from RNAcentral.